This 90-nucleotide small RNA is filed under the name Allopseudospirillum japonicum. Its description in RNAcentral is "Pseudospirillum japonicum t44 RNA". It matches the Rfam family "t44 RNA". From Rfam's summary of the family: This family consists of a number of bacterial RNA genes of between 135 and 170 bases in length. The t44 gene is found between the map and rpsB genes in all species in the full alignment apart from Shigella flexneri. Lineage: Bacteria; Pseudomonadati; Pseudomonadota; Gammaproteobacteria; Oceanospirillales; Oceanospirillaceae. The record is from RNAcentral.
AAUAAGCGUUUUCCCAAAAAGUCACACAUAUACCGACACAUGAUUCGGGGUGCCCUCGGGUUGGAUCAUGGGGUAUAUGGAGGCCUAACC